Molecule: non-coding RNA, 209 nt
Organism: Pelobates cultripes (western spadefoot toad)
Lineage: Eukaryota; Metazoa; Chordata; Amphibia; Anura; Pelobatidae
Source: the annotation of a GenBank genome assembly
CUUGAAGGGAGAGCGGAAGAGGAGGAAAGGCAAGGAGCUCAGUUUUAGAGAGAAAGCAGGAGGACAUUCAGUCAGAGAUGGAAGAAAGGCAAGCAGUGACACGUUUAUAACUUUUUCUAGAAUGAUGUCCAAUAUUAGUUGCAAAUUGAGGAGACAGCUAUAGUAAUUAGAUUUGUCUGGAGGUAUGCCAAUAAUUUUGGGGAAAAUGG